Molecule: ribosomal RNA, 253 nt
Filed under: uncultured bacterium
Lineage: Bacteria
Description: partial 16S ribosomal RNA
Rfam family: Bacterial small subunit ribosomal RNA
Source: RNAcentral
UACGAAGGGGGCUAGCGUUGUUCGGAAUUACUGGGCGUAAAGCGCGCGCAGGUGGUCUUUCAAGUCAGUGGUGAAAGCCCGGAGCUCAACUCCGGAAAUGCCAUUGAAACUGUAAGACUUGAGGAUGAGAGAGGUGAGUGGAAUUCCCAGUGUAGAGGUGAAAUUCGUAGAUAUUGGGAAGAACACCGGUGGCGAAGGCGGCUCACUGGCUCAUAUCUGACGCUCAGGCGCGAUAGCGUGGGGAUCAAACAGG